Molecule: ribosomal RNA, 542 nt
Filed under: uncultured Flavisolibacter sp.
Lineage: Bacteria; Pseudomonadati; Bacteroidota; Chitinophagia; Chitinophagales; Chitinophagaceae
Description: bacterial SSU rRNA
Rfam family: Bacterial small subunit ribosomal RNA
Source: RNAcentral
UAAGGAAUAUUGGUCAAUGGACGCAAGUCUGAACCAGCCAUGCCGCGUGAAGGAUGAAGGUCCUCUGGAUUGUAAACUUCUUUUAUAUGGGACGAAACCCGGGAAUUCUUUCCCGAUUGACGGUACCAUAGGAAUAAGCACCGGCUAACUCCGUGCCAGCAGCCGCGGUAAUACGGAGGGUGCAAGCGUUAUCCGGAUUCACUGGGUUUAAAGGGUGCGUAGGAGGGUAGGUAAGUCAGUGGUGAAAUCCCCGAGCUUAACUUGGGAACUGCCGUUGAUACUAUCUAUCUUGAAUAUCGUGGAGGUGAGCGGAAUAUGUCAUGUAGCGGUGAAAUGCUUAGAUAUGACAUAGAACACCAAUUGCGAAGGCAGCUUGCUACACGAAUAUUGACUCUGAGGCACGAAAGCGUGGGGAUCAAACAGGAUUAGAUACCCUGGUAGUCCACGCCCUAAACGAUGGAUACUCGACAUACGCGAUACACAGUGUGUGUCUGAGCGAAAGCAUUAAGUAUCCCACCUGGGAAGUACGACCGCAAGGUUGA